Molecule: unclassified non-coding RNA, 317 nt
Filed under: uncultured fungus
Lineage: Eukaryota; Fungi
Description: sequence contains ITS1
Rfam family: 5.8S ribosomal RNA (bases 1-105)
Source: RNAcentral
GAAAUGCGAUAAGUAAUGUGAAUUGCAGAAUUCAGUGAAUCAUCGAAUCUUUGAACGCACAUUGCGCCCGCCAGUAUUCUGGCGGGCAUGCCUGUCCGAGCGUCAUUUCAACCCUCGAACCCCUCCGGGGGGUCGGCGUUGGGGAUCGGCCUUCCUUCACGGGGGCCGUCUCCGAAAUACAGUGGCGGUCUCGCCGCAGCCUCUCCUGCGCAGUAGUUUGCACACUCGCAUCGGGAGCGCGGCGCGUCCACAGCCGUUAAACACCCAACUUCUGAAAUGUUGACCUCGGAUCAGGUAGGAAUACCCGCUGAACUUAA